This 253-nucleotide ribosomal RNA is filed under the name uncultured bacterium. RNAcentral's name for it is "partial 16S ribosomal RNA". It matches the Rfam family "Bacterial small subunit ribosomal RNA", at positions 524 to 776 of the family's 1533-position model. The record is from RNAcentral.
UACGUAGGGCGGAAGCGUUAUCCGGAAUUGUUGGGCGUAAAGAGCUCGUAGGCGGUUUGUCGCGUCUGCCGUGAAAGUCCGGGGCUCAACUCCGGAUCUGCGGUGGGUACGGGCAGACUAGAGUGAUGUAGGGGAGACUGGAAUUCCUGGUGUAGCGGUGAAAUGCGCAGAUAUCAGGAGGAACACCGAUGGCGAAGGCAGGUCUCUGGGCAUUAACUGACGCUGAGGAGCGAAAGCAUGGGGAGCGAACAGG